Molecule: ribosomal RNA, 253 nt
Filed under: uncultured Armatimonadota bacterium
Lineage: Bacteria; Bacillati; Armatimonadota
Description: uncultured Armatimonadetes bacterium partial 16S ribosomal RNA
Rfam family: Bacterial small subunit ribosomal RNA
Source: RNAcentral
UACGUAGGGGGCGAGCGUUGUCCGAAUUCACUGGGCGUAAAGCGCGCGUAGGCGGCUUGUUAAGUUGGAGGUGAAAUCCCGGGGCUCAACCCCGGAACUGCCCCCAAAACUGUCAGGCUUGAGGUAUGGAGAGGGAAGUGGAAUUCCAGGUGUAGCGGUGAAAUGCGUAGAUAUCUGGAGGAACACCCGUGGCGAAGGCGGCUUCCUGGUCAUAUCCUGACGCUGAGGUGCGAAAGCUAGGGGAGCGAACGGG